Molecule: ribosomal RNA, 431 nt
Filed under: uncultured bacterium
Lineage: Bacteria
Description: bacterial SSU rRNA
Rfam family: Bacterial small subunit ribosomal RNA
Source: RNAcentral
GUUAGGAAUAUUCGUCAAUGGGGGGAACCCUGAACGAGCAAUGCCGCGUGUGUGAAGAAGGCCCUAUGGGUUGUAAAGCACUGUUGUAUGGAAAGAAAGAUAGGAAUAGGAAAUGAUUCGUAUUUGACGGUACCAUACGAGGAAGCCACGGCUAACUACGUGCCAGCAGCCGCGGUAAUACGUAGGUGGCGAGCGUUAUCCGGAUUUAUUGGGCGUAAAGCGUGCGCAGGCGGUAUGAUAAGUCUAGAAUAAAAGCCCGAAGCUUAACUUCGGUUCGUUUUAGAAACUGUCAAACUCGAGUAUGGUAGAGGCAAAUGGAAUUUCUAGUGUAGCGGUAAAAUGCGUAGAUAUUAGAAGGAACACCAGUGGCGAAGGCGAUUUGCUGGGCCAUAACUGACGCUCAUGCACGAAAGCGUGGGGAGCAAAUAGGA